AUGAAGCUGGAAUUGCUAGUAAUGGCAGGUCAGCAUACUGCCGUGAAUACGUUCCCGGGCCUUGUACACACCGCCCGUCACGCCAUGAGAGUUGGGAAUACCCGAAGCCUGUGAGCUAACUUAUAGAGGCAGCAGUCGAAGGUAGAACCAAUGAUUGGGGUGAAGUCGUAACAAGGUAGC
Molecule: ribosomal RNA, 180 nt
Filed under: uncultured bacterium
Lineage: Bacteria
Description: partial 16S ribosomal RNA
Rfam family: Bacterial small subunit ribosomal RNA
Source: RNAcentral